RNAcentral lists this microRNA (23 nucleotides) under Gossypium hirsutum (cotton). RNAcentral's name for it is "ghr-miR7494". Lineage: Eukaryota; Viridiplantae; Streptophyta; Magnoliopsida; Malvales; Malvaceae. The record is from miRBase by way of RNAcentral.
AGCUUGUGGACUAGUUUUAACAA